This 30-nucleotide small RNA is filed under the name Bombyx mori (domestic silkworm). RNAcentral's name for it is "ovarian small RNA-33689". Lineage: Eukaryota; Metazoa; Arthropoda; Insecta; Lepidoptera; Bombycidae. The record is from RNAcentral.
UGCCAGUACGUGGUCUCCACUCGGGGAUCU